GGAUGUGAGGGCGAUCUGGCUGCGACAUCUGUCACCCCAUUGAUCGCCAGGGUUGAUUCGGCUGAUCUGGCUGGCUAGGAGGGUGUCCCCUUCCUCCCUCACCGCUCCAUGUGCAUCCCUCCCGAAGCUGCGCGCUCGGUCGAAGAGGACGACCACCCCCGAUAGAGGAGGACCGUUCUUCGGUCAAGGGUAUACGAGUAGCUGCGCUCCCCUGCUAGAACCUCCAAACAAGCUCUCAAACUAGCUCCUCCUUUGGAUGGUUUGUUAUAAACUCAUGGUUUCCAGAAAGCCUUCACAGCAUUUGUCACAAUUUGUCAUUGUGCAUGUGUUUGUACAUGUAGACA
RNAcentral lists this small nuclear RNA (344 nucleotides) under Castor canadensis (American beaver). Its description in RNAcentral is "7SK RNA (ENSCCNG00000010901.1)". It matches the Rfam family "7SK RNA". From Rfam's summary of the family: 7SK was discovered as an abundant small nuclear RNA in the mid-70s but a possible function has only recently been suggested. Two independent studies have found that 7SK RNA binds the CDK9/cyclin T complex (known as elongation factor P-TEFb). The record is from RNAcentral. Lineage: Eukaryota; Metazoa; Chordata; Mammalia; Rodentia; Castoridae.